UGAGCUUGCAAAACAACCAGCUGUAAUCCAAGGGGGUUAUAGUGAAUUCCCAAGAGAGACUUGGGGAGUGGACGUAGGAGCAAGGGGUAGCUCCGAACCACUAUAAAACUCUGUGUUUGCAUUGGAUUGUCUCUUCUCUUCUUCCUCUCACAUCACUCAUAGCACUUAGCAUUAAUUAAAUAACUUGCAAUAGUUUUUAAUUAAUCAUCCUUAAAGUUUUAAAUAUCUAAAUUAAUUUAAAACCCAAUUCACCCCCCCUCUUGGGUUGUCUAUCUGGGCAACA
Molecule: long non-coding RNA, 283 nt
Filed under: Phoenix dactylifera (date palm)
Lineage: Eukaryota; Viridiplantae; Streptophyta; Magnoliopsida; Arecales; Arecaceae
Description: long non-coding RNA (PDAC_LNC007964)
Source: RNAcentral